RNAcentral lists this ribosomal RNA (497 nucleotides) under uncultured bacterium. RNAcentral's name for it is "partial 16S ribosomal RNA". It matches the Rfam family "Bacterial small subunit ribosomal RNA", at positions 28 to 507 of the family's 1533-position model. The record is from RNAcentral.
GAUGAACGCUGGCGGCGUGCCUAAUACAUGCAAGUCGAGCGACCGGACGAUAAGCUUGCUUCUCUGUUGUUAGCGGCUGACGUGUGAGUAACACGUGGAUAACCUCCCUAUAAGACUUGGAUUACUUCGGGAAACCGGCGCUAAUACCGGAUAAUAUUUUGAACCGCAUGUUUCCAUAGUGUUAGACGGUUUUUCUGUCACUUAUACAUGGAUCCACGCUGCCUUAGCUAGUUGGUAAGGUAACGGCUUACCAAGGCAACGAUGCAUAGCCGACCUGAGCGGGGGAGCGGCCAGACGGGAAGUGAGAAACGGUCCAGACACCGACGGGAGGAAGCAGUAGGGAAUCUGACGGAAGGGGCGAAAGCAGGACGGAGCAAAGCCGCGUGAGGGAUGAAGGAGUUAGGAGCGGAAAAAGCUGUUAGUAGGGAAGAACAAAAGUGUAAGUAACUGUGCAGAUAAUGACGGUACCUAAAGAGAAAGCCACGGCUAACUACGUG